CAGAGGUUUUCCAGACACCAUUGGCCAUCCUCCAGUGAAGAGUCUUAAAUGAUAUGUUAUGGGAGGCUCUGCUCAGCUCUGAUUGUUGCCAUGCAGGAAUGUGUCCCAGAUCUUCCAAUGGUUUUCAAAAGAAGCUGGAGAUAAUACGGGACCUCAGAAGACUGAGGACAAAACCACAGAUCACCAUGUAGCAGAGCAGAC
Molecule: long non-coding RNA, 201 nt
Organism: Choloepus didactylus (southern two-toed sloth)
Lineage: Eukaryota; Metazoa; Chordata; Mammalia; Pilosa; Megalonychidae
Exons: 3
Source: RefSeq, a predicted model, not a curated record